UACAGAGGGUGCAAGCGUUGUCCGGAAUUACUGGGUGUAAAGGGCGCGUAGGCGUUUGGAUGUGUCAGAUGUGAAAUUCCAUAGCUCAACUAUGGAACUGCAUUUGAAACUAUCCAAAUAGAGUGCAGGAGGGGAAAGUGGAAUUCCCGGUGUAGAGGUGAAAUUCGUAGAUAUCGGGAGGAAUACCGGUGGCGAAGGCGACUUUCUGGCCUGCUACUGACGCUGAGGCGCGAAAGCGUGGGGAGCAAACAGG
This 253-nucleotide ribosomal RNA is filed under the name uncultured bacterium. RNAcentral's name for it is "partial 16S ribosomal RNA". It matches the Rfam family "Bacterial small subunit ribosomal RNA", at positions 524 to 776 of the family's 1533-position model. The record is from RNAcentral.